RNAcentral lists this ribosomal RNA (1527 nucleotides) under Triticum aestivum (bread wheat). RNAcentral's name for it is "partial small subunit ribosomal RNA". Lineage: Eukaryota; Viridiplantae; Streptophyta; Magnoliopsida; Poales; Poaceae. The record is from RNAcentral.
CGCUAACCUCCCCGUGCCCACACCUCCACCUCUUGCGCAGGAAGCGUGUUCCUAUUCUCCCGUCGUUUUGGCCUUCGUCCUAAGCGAGAGACUUACAGCAGCUAGGGUUCCAACCACCGCCGUCCUUUGCCCUCAACCGCCUCCCCUGUUCCCUCGGUACGUUCAAGAGCCUCCGCCAAGCCCUCCUCCCUCACCAGUUUCUCCGCGCGUCUGGGACGCACUCGACGUCGUCGCCCAUCCUCCUCGCGUUGGGGAACGCGUCGCCGCCGUCGAUUCAUCCGCAUGACCGGAGAUGCAGACGCCGGCGUUGUUCAUGCACAAUCCACACAGCCAGGAACGACGCAAGCACCGACGCCCCCGUCUUCCUCACACUGCAGUAGUUCAGCAGGAUUCUUCUACCCCAAACGAUGAACAAGAGAUGAUUUCUGCAGAGAGACAACAAGUUCAGAACCUGUUUGCUAAGGAAAUGACCAUAAUUUCGUGGUCAACCAAAAAGGCAUCUAUUCUUCAUCCCUUGAUCUCCCAGCUAUUCAUGAUGGUUCUAAUUCAUUUACAUUCAAGCCUCAUAAUGCUACUUUUAAGCCUCAUAACAAUCAGUUAAGUGUAAGACAAAAACCAUGUAGAAAAGCCAGUUCAACAACCUUUUUCGCCAAGCUUAUACUUGAAUGGGCUGAUGCAUGUAGAUGUGAUAUGUAAUUUUAGUAAGAUGGGAACAUGACGAUUGAUGUUUCAAGUGAUGAUAAUGCAUAGGGACUGGAGGCGUGGUUUGAGGCGGCAGUUAACCGUACAAUUUUCACGAAGAAUGAUUGUGUACAUUUUUACUCAAUACUCAUUUCUUGUGAUGCAUUAGGUUUUAAUUUUCUUGCUGCUAUGUGUGUGGAUCAAUCCUUACUCAUUUUCAUGCCGCUUGUGGUCUGAGUCCUUAUCUCUGCUUGGGGUGACGCUGCAAGAUCAGACGGAAACCUGACUUAUUAUGGUAGGCUCAGUCUCGUAUGUUCUUUUACCCCGCAGCUAAUCAAUUAUUCUGUGAUGUCCUCUCUUGUAUUCUAAUUAUGGCAUGCUCUUGUCUAUACUAAUUAGAUCAUGCAUUCCUUCAAGGUCAAGUCAGGGGCUUAGGGUAGACAGUUCAUAGUUUUCUUGCUAUUUCGUCUUUCUGUGUGUUACUUCAUUAUGCACGUCUUCUUUCUAUGCAUGUGUUGAUAACUCCAGUUCCAAUCUGAUGAUGCUUUUUUUUCGUGUUGUUGCUUCUGCAGGUUCUGAGAAUUUUACAUGGAUCAGGAAAUUCUAAUGUUUGACUUUGUAGUACUCAGAUUACCAAGAUAAAUUGAGGAUGCAUGACUCAGAUUUUGAUUGCAAGGCUAAGAAGAUUUUGAUUCCGAGGCAAAUAAUUCGGCUACAAGUCAAUUAGAAUGUAAUUUUUAGUAUCAAUGUUACAAACAUUAUAGUUGAUGGCAAGGUCAAGAAUUGGCCUACUACUAGAUAGUUUCACCUCUUGUAAUCUUUGGACCAUGUUCUUUGUAAUGCCAC